GACGAACGCUGGCGGCGUGCUUAACACAUGCAAGUCGAACGGUAAGGCCCUUCGGGGUACACGAGUGGCGAACGGGUGAGUAACACGUGGUGAUCUGCCCUGCACUUCGGGAUAAGCCUGGGAAACUGGGUCUAAUACCGGAUAGGACCAUGGACUUCACGGUUUGUGGUGGAAAGCUUUUGCGGUGUGGGAUGGGGCCCGCGGCCUAUCAGCUUGUUGGUGGGGUAAUGGCCUACCAAGGCGACGACGGGUAGCCGGCCUGAGAGGGUGUCCGGCCACACUGGGACUGAGAUACGGCCCAGACUCCUACGGGAGGCAGCAGUGGGGAAUAUUGCACAAUGGGCGCAAGCCUGAUGCAGCGACGCCGCGUGA
This 372-nucleotide ribosomal RNA is filed under the name uncultured bacterium. RNAcentral's name for it is "bacterial SSU rRNA". It matches the Rfam family "Bacterial small subunit ribosomal RNA", at positions 28 to 404 of the family's 1533-position model. The record is from RNAcentral.